UGGCUCAGUGGUAGAGCGCUUGCCUAGGAAGCACAAGGUCCUGGGUUCAAUCCCCAG
This 57-nucleotide transfer RNA is filed under the name Rattus norvegicus (Norway rat). It matches the Rfam family "tRNA", at positions 8 to 63 of the family's 71-position model. Rfam says of the family: Transfer RNA (tRNA) molecules are approximately 80 nucleotides in length. Their secondary structure includes four short double-helical elements and three loops (D, anti-codon, and T loops). Lineage: Eukaryota; Metazoa; Chordata; Mammalia; Rodentia; Muridae. The record is from Rfam by way of RNAcentral.